Molecule: transfer RNA, 80 nt
Filed under: Pseudorhodobacter sp.
Lineage: Bacteria; Pseudomonadati; Pseudomonadota; Alphaproteobacteria; Rhodobacterales; Paracoccaceae
Description: tRNA-OTHER
Source: RNAcentral
GGCCACACAUAGCUCAGGAAGGGCAGACAGGAAAUCAGAGACCUUCGGGCGUGUGGGAUCGAGUCCCACUGUGGCCACCA